Molecule: long non-coding RNA, 1484 nt
Filed under: Toxoplasma gondii VEG
Lineage: Eukaryota; Apicomplexa; Conoidasida; Eucoccidiorida; Sarcocystidae
Source: RNAcentral
CAUUUGCCCGAGGGGUACAGCGGGUAUGCGAAAUGGAAUAAGAACAUUCGCACAACACAACUCCGGAGUGUCUUCACCCACGAGUCCGCGGUCCCCCUAAAGUCGACGAUACCCUCCUGUGGUGAGUAUGUCCAUAGUCCUCUUCGCGGAGACGUGUGUGCCACCACCUGGCGUCCGACAUGUAACGGCAAAUGCAAUCGUCAGAGUGCGACCGAUAUCAACACGUUAGUAUGCAAGCCGUCACGUCCAGGCGCUCUGUGCUUGCAUUCUUAAUUCACCAAAAAUGGAGCCGCGCUGACAGAGCUACGCAAAGUGCUGCUGCACGUUACUAGUAGCAAGCUCGUCGCCGGGUCGUCGGGGAGGCAAAUGGAGACAGUAAGAUGUCUUCGUUGCGUUGAAGUCGAACUGAUCCACAUCAGAGUCCUCCGGAGGAUAUGAUGCAGACCAAGGCAUACUUGGAUCAGCGCCACCUGAACUUCGCAACGUGCGCGACGGGCUCUCGUUUGCGAACCUACAUUUAGCGUCCUCUUCAGCUCCCAGUGCAGGCAGAAGGAUGUCACUCCUAUCGAAGUCAUACUGGCUCCACAAUGCCGGUUGGCUCGCAGCGCGCCCGACACUGCCGUCGAAAUCAUUGGACAGAUUGGAAUUCCAUCGACACUGAAUGUUCUCUGGUGGAGCAACUAUUGGUCUCAGACUUGGGGAAAGAGGAAGCGCCGUGUAGCUCCGUGACUGGACGUGCCUCGUCGGACUCUCAAGCUCGUGACACCGCGCAUGCAGCUGCGGCAAGCUUGCUGUCACUUCGGCCCGCACCCUGGUGUCUGGGAUGUCGAACUUUGCCCCAUUAUCUUCAAGCUCGCUCGAGGCCUCACGCAUCAGCCCUGCCAGCCCAUCGAGUAGAAGUAAGGAAGCAGAGAGCAGAGACUGCGUUGCAGGGGAUUCGUGAUCAGUCGUGACGCUGUGGCCGGGCAACUCCUGCACUGUCCCGGAAUUCCCGUCUGGUACGAAGAUACGAUCUGAACCUGCACAGUCACGAUUUUGCGUCGACGCAUACGACGAAAGGAAACCUGCUGAAGCCGACGCCCCCUUCUCCGGCACUUGCUUCGGAAGGUGAGGAGGAAAUAGGCAAGGAGAGGAGGGACUCAGAAAGCGGGAAGACCGGGAUAACACCGACAGCGGCUGAGCUGGCUCGUGCUCGUUCAUGUCAGGCCCCAAGUGCUGCUGUUGCAGCUGAAGCAGCUGCAUAUGGAGAAGAUCACCUGCUAGUGCCUCUUCGUAUUUCGGGGCAUCGGAAACAAGACUUGCAGUUGGCAUGUCCUCGCGCACCUGGUUGUCAUACUGAAGCCUUGGGCGUGGGAGAGAAAGUCGUGGUAGCGUGGGAACAUCCAGUCGACUGGGGCUCUCUCCACUGUAUACGUGCCGCCCUUGUGCAGAAUACCUAUCAGGAAAAGGAUGCCGACGGUCACCCGGGCUCAACCUGCGCCCCA